RNAcentral lists this small nucleolar RNA (107 nucleotides) under Ipomoea nil (Japanese morning glory). RNAcentral describes it as "Plant small nucleolar RNA R71". It matches the Rfam family "Plant small nucleolar RNA R71". Rfam says of the family: R71 is a member of the C/D box family of snoRNAs containing the C (UGAUGA) and D (CUGA) box motifs. Multiple nearly identical copies of this snoRNA have been identified in Arabidopsis, and it is thought to function as a 2'-O-ribose methylation guide for 18S ribosomal RNA. The record is from Rfam by way of RNAcentral. Lineage: Eukaryota; Viridiplantae; Streptophyta; Magnoliopsida; Solanales; Convolvulaceae.
AUUUGAUGGUGUGGGCAGCUUGCACAUUGUUUCUUGAAACGCUCCCAAUAUUCAUACAAUGACUCUCCAUUAUUUUGCCUUAUACCACAAAUUUCCUUUCUAAUGUU